This 445-nucleotide ribosomal RNA is filed under the name uncultured bacterium. RNAcentral's name for it is "bacterial SSU rRNA". It matches the Rfam family "Bacterial small subunit ribosomal RNA", at positions 330 to 792 of the family's 1533-position model. The record is from RNAcentral.
CCCAGACUCCUACGGGAGGCAGCAGUGGGGAAUAUUGCACAAUGGGGGGAACCCUGAUGCAGCGACGCCGCGUGGGUGAAGGAGCACCUCGGUGCGUAAAGCCCUAUCGGCAGGGAAGAAACAGACGGUACCUGACUAAGAAGCCCCGGCUAACUACGUGCCAGCAGCCGCGGUAAUACGUAGGGGGCAAGCGUUAUCCGGAUUCACUGGGUGUAAAGGGAGCGUAGACGGCGACGCAAGUCUGGAGUGAAAGCCCGGGGCCCAACCCCGGGACUGCUCUGGAAACUGCGUCGCUGGAGUGCGGGAGGGGCAGGCGGAAUUCCUGGUGUAGCGGUGAAAUGCGUAGAUAUCAGGAGGAACACCGGCGGCGAAGGCGGCCUGCUGGACCGUGACUGACGUUGAGGCUCGAGAGCGUGGGGAGCAAACAGGAUUAGAUACCCGCGUA